CCUACGGGAGGCAGCAGUGAGGAAUAUUGGUCAAUGGGCGCGAGCCUGAACCAGCCAAGUAGCGUGAAGGAUGACUUCCCUACGGGUUGUAAACUUCUUUUAUAAAGGAAUAAAGUGAGGCCCGUGUGCCUUUUUGUAUGUACUUUAUGAAUAAGGAUCGGCUAACUCCGUGCCCGCAUCCGCGGUAAUACGGAGGAUCCGAGCGUUAUCCGGCUUUAUUGGGUUUAAAGGGAGCGUAGAUGGGUUGUUAAGUCAGUUGUGAAAGUUUGCGGCUCAACCGUAAAAUUGCAAUUGAUACUGGCAGCCUUGAGUACAGUUGAGGUAGGCGGAAUUCGUGGUGUAGCGGUGAAAUGCUUAGAGCUCACGAAGAACUCCGAUUGCGAAGGCAGCUUACUAAACUGCCACUGACAUUGAUGCUCGAAAGUGUGGGUAUCAAACAGGAUUAGAUACCCCUGUAGUC
RNAcentral lists this ribosomal RNA (460 nucleotides) under uncultured bacterium. Its description in RNAcentral is "partial 16S ribosomal RNA". It matches the Rfam family "Bacterial small subunit ribosomal RNA", at positions 338 to 795 of the family's 1533-position model. The record is from RNAcentral.